Molecule: microRNA precursor, 59 nt
Filed under: Ascaris suum (pig roundworm)
Lineage: Eukaryota; Metazoa; Nematoda; Chromadorea; Rhabditida; Ascarididae
Description: Asu-Mir-76_pre stem-loop
Source: RNAcentral
UCGGGUUUUCUAUCAGCGAAUAUUUCGCUGAAAUUAUUCGUUGUUUAUGAAACCUGCUU